AGAGUUUGAUUAUGGCUCAGGAUGAACGCUAGCUACAGGCUUAACACAUGCAAGCCGAGGGGCAGCAUAACGAAAGCUUGCUUUGUGAUGGCGACCGGCGCACGGGUGAGUAACGCGUAUCCAACCUUCCCCAUAGUAGAGAAUAGCCCGGCGAAAGUCGGAUUAAUGCUCUAUGUUGUAUCAUGAGGACAUCUGAAUAAUACCAAAGGUUCACCGCUAUGGGAUGGGGAUGCGUCUGAUUAGGUUGUUGGCGGGGUAACGGCCCACCAAGCCCACGAUCAGUAGGGUUCUGAGAGGAAGGUCCCCCACAUUGGAACUGAGACACGGUCCAAACUCCUACGGGAGGCAGCAGUGAGGAAUAUUGGUCAAUGGACGGAAGUCUGAACCAGCCAAGUAGCGUGCAGGAUGACGGCCCUAUGGGUUGUAAACUGCUUUUAUACAGGGAUAAAGUGAGGGACGUGUCCCUUUUGUAGGUACUGUAUGAAUAAGGACCGGCUAAUUCCGUGCCAGCCGCUGC
RNAcentral lists this ribosomal RNA (517 nucleotides) under uncultured bacterium. Its description in RNAcentral is "bacterial SSU rRNA". It matches the Rfam family "Bacterial small subunit ribosomal RNA", at positions 8 to 518 of the family's 1533-position model. The record is from RNAcentral.